This 620-nucleotide unclassified non-coding RNA is filed under the name Hevea brasiliensis (rubber tree). The record is from RNAcentral. Lineage: Eukaryota; Viridiplantae; Streptophyta; Magnoliopsida; Malpighiales; Euphorbiaceae.
GAAGUUUUCUCAUUCCACUCGUCAAAAGAGGAGAACAGUGGAUAAGGCUUUGCUUGAGGCUCCCAUGGAUGAGAUUGACUAUUCAAAGGUGCCUAUUAAGGAUCUAAUUUUAUUAGCUGAGCACAGAGAGCGGUUGGCGAAAAAAGAUGCAGCAGUGUCACAGAUGCCUCCUACUACUACAGAUCAGAGUGCUGGUGCAUCUGUUUCUAAUUAUGAUGAGGAUGAGACCUAUGCUUCAGAUGAAGAUGGGGAAGCUGAUGAUCAUAAUAAAAGUACUAUGGGUGAAGAUACUUCUUCCUACUUCAAUUAUCAGACUUACAUGGACAAGACCCCCAGCACAAGGUGGUCAAAACAGGACACAGAACUUUUCUAUGAGGCUGUGCAGCAGUUUGGGACAGAUUUAUCCCUUAUACAACAACUUUUUCCUGGCCGGACACGUAGACAGCUAAAGCUAAAAUACAAGAAAGAAGAGCGGCAAAAUCCAUUUAGGCUUCAUGAUGUUCUAACAAAUCGUUCGAAAGAUCAUUCCCACUUCGAACGAGUAAUCGAGCAUUUAAAGCAAAUUGAAGCUGAGGAAUUGCAGUACGCUGAUAAAGACGAGUCAAUUGACUUGACUGGGG